AUAAGGUCAAGUUAGUAAGGGCAUACGGUGGAUGCCUAGGCGCUGAGAGGCGAAGAAGGGCGCGGACAGCUGCGAAAAGCUACGGAGAGCCGCAAGCAGGCGUAGACCCGUAGAUACCCGAAUGGGGCAACCCGUCCGGAGUCAUAUCCGGACAUCG
This 157-nucleotide ribosomal RNA is filed under the name Heliobacterium mobile. RNAcentral's name for it is "Heliobacillus mobilis partial 23S ribosomal RNA". It matches the Rfam family "Bacterial large subunit ribosomal RNA", at positions 1 to 153 of the family's 2925-position model. Lineage: Bacteria; Bacillati; Bacillota; Clostridia; Eubacteriales; Heliobacteriaceae. The record is from RNAcentral.